UGUGCAUGUCACUAGGCUUACGUUUAAAUU
RNAcentral lists this non-coding RNA (30 nucleotides) under Mus musculus (house mouse). The record is from RNAcentral. Lineage: Eukaryota; Metazoa; Chordata; Mammalia; Rodentia; Muridae.